CCUACGGGGGGCUGCAGUAACGAAUCUUGGGCAAUGGGCGAAAGCCUGACCCAGCGACGCCGCGUGCGGGAGGAAGUCCUUCGGGAUGUAAACCGCUGUCAGGGGUAAGAAAGUCCGCUUCGGCGGAUUGAUCGAACCCAGAGGAAGUCACGGCUAACUCUGUGCCAGCAGCCGCGGUAAGACAGAGGUGGCUAGCGUUGUUCGGUAUCACUGGGCUUAAAGCGUGUGUAGGCGGGAGCGUAAGCAUUUUGUGAAAUCCCCCGGCUCAACCGGGGCAUUGCUUGAUGUACUGCGUUCCUUGAGGCAAGUAGGGGUGCGAGGAACUCUUGGUGGAGCGGUGGAAUGCGUAGAUAUCAAGAGGAACGCCGAUGGUGAAGACAUCGCACUAGGCUUGUCCUGACGCUGAGACACGAAAGCGUGGGGAGCGAACGGGAUUAGAUACCCUUGUAGUC
This 452-nucleotide ribosomal RNA is filed under the name uncultured Planctomycetota bacterium. RNAcentral describes it as "bacterial SSU rRNA". It matches the Rfam family "Bacterial small subunit ribosomal RNA", at positions 338 to 795 of the family's 1533-position model. Lineage: Bacteria; Pseudomonadati; Planctomycetota. The record is from RNAcentral.